UACGCUGGCGGCACGCCUAACACAUGCAAGUCGAACGCAGUAGCAAUACUGAGUGGCAAACGGGUGAGUAUAAUGUGGGAAUCUGCCUUUUGGUUUGGAAUAACACGGGGAAACUUGUGCUAAUACCAAAUAAGCCCUUACGGGGAAAGUUUUAACGCCAAAAGAUGAGCCCGCACUUGAUUAGCUAGUUGGUAAGGUAAAAGCUUACCAAGGCAACGAUCAAUAGCUGUUCUUAGAGGAAGACCAGCCACAUUGGGACUGAGACACGGCCCAGACUCCUACGGGAGGCAGCAGUGGGGAAUCUUGCACAAUGGGGGAAACCCUGAUGCAGCGAUGCCGCGUGAGUGAAGAAGGCCCUUGGGUUGUAAAACUCUUUCGUCGGGGAAGAAAAUGACUGUACCCGAAUAAGAAG
RNAcentral lists this ribosomal RNA (412 nucleotides) under uncultured bacterium. RNAcentral describes it as "bacterial SSU rRNA". It matches the Rfam family "Bacterial small subunit ribosomal RNA", at positions 33 to 490 of the family's 1533-position model. The record is from RNAcentral.